GACGAACGCUGGCGGCGUGCUUAACACAUGCGAGUCGAACGGAAAGGCCCUGCUUGCCGGGUGCUCGAGUGGCGAACGGGUGAGUAACACGUGGGUGAUCUGCCCCUUACUUUGGGAUAAGCCUGGGAAACUGGGUCUAAUACUGGAUAGGACCAUGCUGUAGGUGGUGUGGUGGAAAGAUUAGUUUCGGUAAGGGAUGAGCUCGCGGCCUAUCAGCUUGUUGGUGGGGUAAUGGCCUACCAAGGCGUCGACGGGUAGCCGGCCUGAGAGGGUGGACGGCCACAUUGGGACUGAGAGACGGCCCAGACGCCUACGGGAGGCAGCAGUGGGGAAUAGUGCACAAUGGGCGCAAGCCUGAUGCAGCGACGCCGCGUGGGGGAUGACGGCCUUCGGGUUGUAAACUCCUUUCAGCCAUGACGAAGCCCUUGUGGUGACGGUAGUGGUAGAAGAAGCACCGGCUAACUACGUG
Molecule: ribosomal RNA, 469 nt
Filed under: uncultured bacterium
Lineage: Bacteria
Description: partial 16S ribosomal RNA
Rfam family: Bacterial small subunit ribosomal RNA
Source: RNAcentral